AUGGCCGUUCCCGCGCCAACACCGAGGAUAAACUCUUGGCCAAUAGUUCUGGCAUCGCAACAGCUCUUGAACAUUGAUGCAUCUUUCCGUGAGGAGGAUCACUCGGGGUCAUGUGGAGCCAUUAUAAGAGACCACAAAGGGAAUUUCAUAGCAGCUUCUACCUCACGUAUUGACCACGUUGCAGACGUAGUCUCUGCUGAAGCUGCAGCACUCCGGGAAGGUUUGAAGUUAGCUAUUUCGAUGGGUUGCAAUAACAUCAUGGCGAGGAUGGAUAACUUCAUUGUAGUAAAUGCUCUACAACUGAAUGAAGGACAAUCAAUGGUGGCUGGCCCCAUUUUGGAAGAAUGCAGAGAUUUACUAAGAGGUUUAGGGAAGGUUAUUCUUGAGCAUUGUAAUAGAGAGUCAAAUACGACAGCUCAUGCGCUAGCUGAAUAUGGCCGUGCAAACGAUCCGUCUCUGUGGAUCGAGGCACCACCAAGUUUCAUUACCAAUUCCUUGGCAGACGAUGUAUCUGUUAUUUAG
RNAcentral lists this ribosomal RNA (522 nucleotides) under Triticum aestivum (bread wheat). RNAcentral describes it as "partial small subunit ribosomal RNA". Lineage: Eukaryota; Viridiplantae; Streptophyta; Magnoliopsida; Poales; Poaceae. The record is from RNAcentral.